Long non-coding RNA from Gallus gallus (chicken), 4010 nucleotides. The record is from Ensembl. NCBI's taxonomy places the organism in Eukaryota, Metazoa, Chordata, Aves, Galliformes, Phasianidae.
AAGAAAUUGUAUCUGAUACAGGUUUAUUUUUACUGAGUAGUAAAAGAGAGUUAGUCUUUCAACUAAGAACAGGGAAGGGCAAGGGAAUGGCUUUAUCAAAACGGCAUUUACAGGAUAAUAAAUGCUCUGACUUCAAACUUUAAUAUUUGCCAAUUGGCUGCGCACAAAAACAACGAGAUGGCUGAGGUGAAGUUCUGGUCACAGUCAAAUAAGUGGCAGAUUUCAGCAGAGCCAGGUAUUUGUAGCUCAAGUGCUGUACAGGGGCACUAAUGCCCCGUGGAGGUCUCAUUUGAGCAAACUGCUUUCUUAAGUCCUUUAUUUGACAAUAUCUUCCCAAAACUAAGCAUGCACUUCUCCGCUGUGUUAAACCAGGCUCUGAAAUUGAUGAUGAGUCUGACAGUUUAGGAAAGUUUGGAUUGCUAAGAUACAAUAGGCUUUUGUUUAUCUGAGCUUGUCUGUAUGAUUUCUUAGUCCGUUUGGAUGUCCAUUCCACCGCCCAGAAGGGGCAGCUUUCUGCAGAGCCCCUUUGCUUCACUGAGUUUGAUGUGAGAAAGCAUAGCCAGGGCUCAGCAGCCAUGCUAGGAGCAGGGAGGGUGACAUGAUGGACACGAUGGAGUGAUAUCCUCUUGUUACAUGCCACCUUGGGGUGGUGAAGGAAGAUGCAAAUGACAGCCUUGAUGUCUUCAGGUUGGAAAAGCAGGUGUGAUUUAAACUCUAAAAAAGAGUUACAGCACCAACCAUACCUUCAAGAAUUAGGCAUGUGGACUCUUAGGGAGUGGGAAGUAUUUUGGGGGGCAGGAGGUAGGAAGGCAUCCAUCUGAUCGAAAGUUGGUGUUCACAGUAACUGUGUCAGAAUUAGUCAUCUGGGUUCCAUCUGCAGUCAAUGGGGAGGUUCAGACACCUGUAAGGCAUGACUCAUCUCCUAUUGCACAUAUGGAUCAGAUCAGAUGAACUGCCUCCUAGUUUCCCUCCACCAGCUGUGAAAGGAGCCCCGUGUGACUUGCUAUCUAAGCAAGUAUCUUACCUGUUGGUGUGUAAAGGUAGGGCACAUGAAAGCCCUGCCUUUGUUUUGGAAGCUAGCCACUGAAGAAAUGUUUUACACACUUGUAGAACUAAAUCAACAAAGCUCUGAUGUGAUAUUCAAACUGUAACUCCCCUGCUCGUGUCUUUCUGUGCGAUCUUCCAGACAAAUUGUAUCUAUCACUUUUCCUAAUGGCUCAUUUGGAUGGUGUCUAGUCAUAUUCAUUCAUCAGAUCUGACUUUCUACAUAGAGCUUCUACUGCUCAGUGCAGCGUAACAGCAGCACACUGCAGCACACAUAAUGAUGUGAAGCACACAUCUUUUUUUGUGUGGGUCACCCUAGAGCAGGUAUAUCCAACCUGUGGUCUGUGGGUUGUACAUGGCCUAGUCCAGUCUGUCCUGCAGCUGCCAACCGCUCCACACCAUCAUGGUGGUUGUUCUGCCCCACUAUGGGGCCCAGCCUGGCCCCAAUUUCUCUUCACUCAGUGUGGUCUAGGCAAGUGAAAAGUUUGGACACCCAUGCCUUAGAGGUGGGUGCAUGGUCCCAGUCCCUUAAUAUCUUAGUACCUUGUGAGCCUUAAUACAUUUUUCUUUAAUAUAAACAUAUUACCUUCCCCUCCUCUACCUCCUGUCUGACUAUUCCCCUUGGCUUAUGUAUGAACUAAGGACAACUAAGCUUACUGAGGAGCUCCCUUGGCUUUUUGACUAUCCCAGCAGCUCCAUUUGUCUGCCUUCCUCUCUCCUUACACGUGCAGUUAAGAGUCUACAAACUCCAGGUACCUCUGAACUUUGCCUGCUGACUUGUGCCUCCUCCUCACGAUGCAGAGAGGUUUUCCAGCCCAGUUACUUUUGUUGCAUCAAGAGCUUUCUGACAGUCAGUAAAUCACAUCACAUCCUCUAGUCUUGAUUGGAGCUUCUGCUGGCUAAUGUCAGAUACUCAGUGCAAAUAUUCCAUUUCACUAUGGCGUAUUAAAUGAGGUUUUAAUAAUUGCCAUAGAUAACUCUAGGGGAAGGCCGUAGGGGGCUUUUAUGCCUUAGAUAUGGAUUUGUGUGGUAGUAAUAAUACACGUGCACUCCAGAAGUCCCAAAGACGAUGAAAUGAAGAGGGAAACAGUGGCUUGGAAUCAGUGGGUCGCUGUAUAGCAAACAAGCUCAAUGAAAUUUGGCUUUGAUGGGAUUACCUGCCUGCACUUAUCUGUGACAGAAGGUGUGGCUUCUGCCUCAGGAAGUUUUGAAAUGAAGAUUUUUUUCUUUUUCAUAGCUAUUCAAAAGUCAGGCAGAAAUGUGCAGAAUAAAAUAAUCACUUCUCAUUCCAGCUUCUGAGUCUCAUUCUUUCUUAAUCCUUCAGUUUUCUGUGCCUGGGGGUAGGUUCCCUUUCAAGUGCAGUAAGAAUAGCCAUAUUUCUGUUCACUUUUUUCAGAAGAAAACACCUUUGAAUUUUCCUCUGAGCUCCUCUGUCUAGAUUAUCCCUGUCUCCAGUAAGUCUUUUCUCCCGGAUUUCCUGGGAUGUACUCAGUUGUCAGAAAAGUGGCAUGUUGAACCCUCCACCAUGGCUGGCUCCAGCCCUGGGGUGAGACUGGUGUGAGCCCUGAAUGCCCUCUUCUAUAGUCAAGUGCAGUUUGCCUCUUCUGUAGAGUCAUUAAGGCCACUAGGGCAGUGUGGAAAUUCCUCACGUAUGUCCUCAUUGUCAGCAGGAACAUCAGGAAUGCAUAUGUAAGUAAGAACAAGAUUAUAAAACCUAGGGUUGCUUAUCAACUCUAAUGUACCAUUACUGACCUGUAUCUGAAACGAAAAGGGAGUUUUCUGUGGAGAUCAUGGAUCCUCUCAGUCUCUGGAACUGUGGUGCAGCACACGGACUCAUCUCCAUGUGCAUUCAAGAGGAGCCCAGCUCAGCUCAGCGCUACACAGUGCCACACGAUGCCAAAAGAGCCACAGGAGGUUCCAGAUGUAGCUGCCAGGACAUCAAGCCUUCAUGCUGGCCUUCUGUUCCCCAUGCCUAUUUGCCAUUUCCUUAUAGAGUUAGUGGUUGAGCUAGGUGAUCUUAGUGAUCUUUCCAGCUGUAAUGGUUCUGUAAUUCUAUGAUUUUGUGAUUCCUAUACGCAAAUGCUUUAAUUAAAAUUCUGUCAUUUUUUCCCAGCUGUCUCGAAAAGAUUCUGUCUUGUCUUCCUUCGUAGUUUCAGCAUUCAGGCAGAAAAUAGCUCUCCUGAACAGCCUCACCUCUGUUACUGCUGUCACAUACUUGUUUCUGUUUGCCUCUGUUGCAGACUUUAUCUUUCCCUUUUUGACUCUUAUUUAAGACACAGAGACCCUGCUUGGGUUUCACAUGUCCGCUCUACAAUCAGCCUGCUGCUGAAGAGCUGUGUCACAGCCUAGAUUUCUCUUUCAGGGGCUUUUAUAUUCUUUCUUCAGUCACUUCUCUGCUGCUAGCUUGCAUUCAGUUAUUUUAACUAGUUUAGCUGAGGUUACUUUCUGUGUUACAGAAAGAUGAUUUAGUUCUGCUGAAGCCUGGCAGUGAAAAUACAAAAUAACAGCCUAUAUUUUUCAUCUAGAUUCACUUUCUGUGAUUUAUGGCACCAGGGAGAGCUGGAUUUUGUGUCCUGAGGUGCCACUAGAAGUGCUGGAGAAGAUGAAAUAUCUGGAGGAGAAACAAGGAAGCUGGAGAAAUAAGUCUGACAUAAGGACAGCUGCUUAAAGUCUAUGUUAAAUCAAAGCUCCUUCGUGAUGCAUUUCUGCACAAAGAUCUUAACAGCAGUUGGAUGUGAUUUAGUUUGAGUUUGGAGCUGUAGGUCAAUUCAUUGUGACUUGUCCACAAUGUGGCAAUUGAGGAACUCCUGUAAGACUGUCCAUGGGUUUCUGUUGAGUGGAUUGGUUGCAACAAGUAGAGUGGCACAAUGUCAGAGGGAAACAUGAACACAGGAACUAUUUCUCUACUGGAAACCCCUAUCUGGUAGCCUGAUAAAGUCUAAUUCAACUAAUUUUUCCUAAGUUGG